This 816-nucleotide long non-coding RNA is filed under the name Zostera marina. Its description in RNAcentral is "long non-coding RNA (ZMAR_LNC001913)". The record is from RNAcentral. Lineage: Eukaryota; Viridiplantae; Streptophyta; Magnoliopsida; Alismatales; Zosteraceae.
CCCACCAGCCAUAUUUCUGAGGAUUGUUUGAAUGUUGAUAUGAUGAUCGUUGGUUAUUAUUGUAUUUAUAGACUUUGCAUCGAUCACCAACUAACGUAAGUUGACGAACAAUUGUUAGAAAUUAACUACGGAAGAUUAAUAAACAGCUGAUUUACCGUUAACGUUUUGGCAGACAGGCUGGCAUGCAUGCAUGCAUGUGGUAUGGAGUGCAGAUCCGAAAACCUCUCAUUCUGCUUGAAAAAUUGAGAAGAUACUACAGAUCGAUCGAGGUGAAUAAUAGCUAGUACCUAGCGCCUAGCUAGCUAGUUGACGUAAAUUUUCAUUUCUCCCCAGAUCUGGUAAUUUAAAUAUUACAACAACAUGGUAAUUAAUUUCUUAAUCACAACGAAUGCUCAAUUACAUAUUUGAAAAAGAAGAAAACUCAGAAAUCAUGCAUGCAUACAUGCUGCUUGAUUUCAUCAGUUAAUUAUUAUCAUGUGUUUUUUUUCAUUUCAUACCGUUAUAUCUAUCGGUUUCUACGUAGGUACGUACGUACGUACGUGAUGUAAAUAUGUAAUGAUUGAUUGAUGUUUUGUUUUUUUGAUUUCUCGUCCAAAUUUCCAAAAGGCCAAAAUUACAAAUAUCAUGUAUUUUCUAUCUAUUUCAAUCCUACAUUGAAUUCGCAGGUAUAUUAAUGAAUCGAAUUCAGUCAAAACUAACUAGCUUUGAAGUAACGUAAAAGGAUUGAUUCAAAACUCAGAACCCAUUUAAUAAAGUCAAUGAAAUGAAUAAAAUUACGCUGGCAUGCAUUGGUCCGCGUAAUCACAACUUUCCGUC